GCUGGGUGUGGUGGUGCUCACCUGUAAUCCCAGUGGCUAGGGAGGCUAAGGCAGGAGGAUCAUGAGUUCAAAACCAGUCUCACCUACUUAACAAGGUCCUGAUCAAAUUAGUGAGGCCCUGAGCAACUUGGUGAAACCCUGUCUCAA
Molecule: small RNA, 147 nt
Filed under: Marmota monax (woodchuck)
Lineage: Eukaryota; Metazoa; Chordata; Mammalia; Rodentia; Sciuridae
Source: RNAcentral